CCUACGGGGGGCUGCAGUGGGGAAUAUUGGACAAUGGGGGGAACCCUGAUCCAGCCAUGCCGCGUGUGUGAAGAAGGCCCUCGGGUUGUAAAGCACUUUCAGUGAGGAAGAACGCCUGGUGGUUAAUACCCAUCAGGAAAGACAUCACUCACAGAAGAAGCACCGGCUAACUCCGUGCCAGCAGCCGCGGUAAUACGGAGGGUGCGAGCGUUAAUCGGAAUUACUGGGCGUAAAGCGCGCGUAGGUGGCUUGAUAAGCCGGUUGUGAAAGCCCCGGGCUCAACCUGGGAACGGCAUCCGGAACUGUCAAGCUAGAGUGCAGGAGUGGAAGGUAGAAUUCCCGGUGUAGCGGUGAAAUGCGUAGAGAUCGGGAGGAAUACCAGUGGCGAAGGCGGCCUUCUGGACUGACACUGACACUGAGGUGCGAAAGCGUGGGUAGCAAACAGGAUUAGAUACCCGAGUAGUC
Molecule: ribosomal RNA, 465 nt
Filed under: Vreelandella stevensii
Lineage: Bacteria; Pseudomonadati; Pseudomonadota; Gammaproteobacteria; Oceanospirillales; Halomonadaceae
Description: partial 16S ribosomal RNA
Rfam family: Bacterial small subunit ribosomal RNA
Source: RNAcentral